This 27-nucleotide non-coding RNA is filed under the name Rattus norvegicus (Norway rat). The record is from RNAcentral. Lineage: Eukaryota; Metazoa; Chordata; Mammalia; Rodentia; Muridae.
UCCUCGGCCUCUAACCAGUUGUACUGC